UUGAACGCUGGCGGCAUGCUUUACACAUGCAAGUCGAACGGUAACAGGCCUUCGGGUGCUGACGAGUGGCGAACGGGUGAGUAAUGCAUCGGAACGUGCCCAAUCGUGGGGGAUAACGUAGCGAAAGUUACGCUAAUACCGCAUACGCCCUGAGGGGGAAAGCAGGGGAUCUUCGGACCUUGUGCGAAUGGAGCGGCCGAUGUCAGAUUAGCUAGUUGGUGGGGUAAAGGCCCACCAAGGCGACGAUCUGUAGCGGGUCUGAGAGGAUGAUCCGUCACACUGGAACUGAGACACGGUCCAGACUCCUACGGGAGGCAGCAGUGGGGAAUUUUGGACAAUGGGGGCAACCCUGAUCCAGCCAUUCCGCGUGAGUGAAGAAGGCCUUCGGGUUGUAAAGCUCUUUCAGCCGGAACGAAACGGUACGCUCUAACAUAGCGUGCUAAUGACGGUACCGGCAGAAGAAGCACCGGCUAACUACGU
RNAcentral lists this ribosomal RNA (480 nucleotides) under uncultured bacterium. RNAcentral describes it as "bacterial SSU rRNA". It matches the Rfam family "Bacterial small subunit ribosomal RNA", at positions 30 to 506 of the family's 1533-position model. The record is from RNAcentral.